AAAAUCUAACAAUCUCUACCUUAAACCAAAUUCCAGUGCAACGAACAAAAUUCCAAAAUUUCUCCACCUAUAAAGUAUGUCCGACUAUAUUGAAAUAACCAAACUCUUCAAACAGUAACCAAAACUCUUCACCUCAAGAAAAAACAUUAUUCUUUGCUCGUAUCCACAAGCGAUACCCAAACCCUAAUCCCAUGUUCCCAAAAUUUCAACAAGGAGCUAACAUUGACCAAACAGAGUUGAAACACACUCUGUAGCAGAAACCAUACACAAUACUUGAUCAGAAGGCUUCUUGCUAGAACUUUCACCUUCAAAAACUCCAAAAGCAUUCUCAACAUCUCCAACACCGUACACACGCUCAAUGGAUCCAAACCUAACAUUUGAACACAGUGUAUCUCUUGAAGUUGGUAGCAAAGCGGAAUCACCGAUGCUUUUCCUAGCAGUGUUCUGAAUCGACUGAAAGCCUAUCACAAGAGAUAUUGUACCAAAUUGAAUUUCCACCACAGUACCAAACUUGUCUAGAUGUCUCCUAAUUGGUUCUGCG
Molecule: long non-coding RNA, 541 nt
Filed under: Olea europaea (common olive)
Lineage: Eukaryota; Viridiplantae; Streptophyta; Magnoliopsida; Lamiales; Oleaceae
Description: long non-coding RNA (OEUR_LNC007582)
Source: RNAcentral